RNAcentral lists this transfer RNA (76 nucleotides) under Mollicutes bacterium. RNAcentral's name for it is "tRNA-Lys". It matches the Rfam family "tRNA". From Rfam's summary of the family: Transfer RNA (tRNA) molecules are approximately 80 nucleotides in length. Their secondary structure includes four short double-helical elements and three loops (D, anti-codon, and T loops). Lineage: Bacteria; Bacillati; Mycoplasmatota; Mollicutes. The record is from RNAcentral.
GUCUCGUUAGCUCAGUUGGUAGAGCACCUGGCUUUUAACCAGGGUGUCAAAGGUUCGAAUCCUUUACGAGGCACCA